UGCCAGCAGCCGCGGUAAUACGGAAGGUCCAGGCGUUAUCCGGAUUUAUUGGGUUUAAAGGGAGCGCAGGCUGAUGAUUAAGCGUGACGUGAAAUGUAGCCGCUCAACGGCUGAACUGCGUCGCGAACUGGUUAUCUUGAGUGAGUUCGAUGUUGGCGGAAUUCGUGGUGUAGCGGUGAAAUGCUUAGAUAUCACGAAGAACUCCGAUUGCGAAGGCAGCCAACAAGGCCUUUACUGACGCUAAAGCUCGAAGGUGCGGGUAUCGAACAGGAUUAGAUACCCUGGUAGUCCGCACGGUAAACGAUGGAUGCCCGCUGUUUGCGAUAUACUGUGAGCGGCCAAGAGAAAUCGUUAAGCAUCCCACCUGGGGAGUACGCCGGCAACGGUGA
RNAcentral lists this ribosomal RNA (389 nucleotides) under Xylanibacter ruminicola. Its description in RNAcentral is "bacterial SSU rRNA". It matches the Rfam family "Bacterial small subunit ribosomal RNA", at positions 506 to 897 of the family's 1533-position model. Lineage: Bacteria; Pseudomonadati; Bacteroidota; Bacteroidia; Bacteroidales; Prevotellaceae. The record is from RNAcentral.